GAUGAACGCUGGCGGCGUGCUUAACACAUGCAAGUCGAACGGAAGGGCCCAAGCUUGCUUGGGUACUCGAGUGGCGAACGGGUGAGUAACACGUGGGUGAUCUGCCCUGCACUUCGGGAUAAGCCUGGGAAACUGGGUCUAAUACCGGAUAGGACCACUUCUUGGAUGUUGUGGUGGAAAGUUUUUUCGGUGUGGGAUGAGCUCGCGGCCUAUCAGCUUGUUGGUGAGGUAAUGGCCUACCAAGGCGUCGACGGGUAGCCGGCCUGAGAGGGUGUACGGCCACAUUGGGACUGAGAUACGGCCCAGACUCCUACGGGAGGCAGCAGUGGGGAAUAUUGCACAAUGGGCGCAAGCCUGAUGCAGCGACGCCGCGUGGGGAUGACGGCCUUCGGGUUGUAAACUCCUUUCGCUAGGGACGAAGCGUUUUGUGACGGUACCUGGAGAAGAAGCACCGGCUAACUACGUG
This 466-nucleotide ribosomal RNA is filed under the name uncultured bacterium. RNAcentral's name for it is "partial 16S ribosomal RNA". It matches the Rfam family "Bacterial small subunit ribosomal RNA", at positions 28 to 507 of the family's 1533-position model. The record is from RNAcentral.